RNAcentral lists this ribosomal RNA (415 nucleotides) under Blastocystis sp. RNAcentral describes it as "SSU rRNA". It matches the Rfam family "Eukaryotic small subunit ribosomal RNA", at positions 154 to 583 of the family's 1831-position model. Lineage: Eukaryota; Bigyra; Opalinata; Blastocystidae. The record is from RNAcentral.
AAUUCUAGAGUUAAUACAUGAUCAAUUCCUCGACUUUGAAGAGGUGUAUUUAUUAGAAUGAAAACCAAUAGACUUUGUCUGUUUGGGAGUAAUAAUAACUUGUCAUAUCGCAUGCUUAGGUAGCGAUGUUUCUUUUAAGUUUCUGCCCUAUCAGCUUUCGAUGGUAGUGUAUGGGACUCCCAUGGCAGUAACGGGUAACGAAGAAUUUGGGUUCGAUUUCGGAGAGGGAGCGUGAGAGACGGCUCCCACAUCCAAGGAAGGCAGCAGGCGCGUAAAUUACCCAAUCCUGACACAGGGAGGUAGUGACAAUAAAUCACAAUGGGGAACUUUAGUUUUGCAAUUGGAUUGAGAACAACGCACAACACUUAUCGAUAAACAAUUGGAGGGCAAGUCUGGUGCCAGCAGCCGCGGUAAU